Molecule: ribosomal RNA, 152 nt
Filed under: uncultured bacterium
Lineage: Bacteria
Description: partial 16S ribosomal RNA
Rfam family: Bacterial small subunit ribosomal RNA
Source: RNAcentral
AUCAGCAUGCCGCGGUGAAUACGUUCCCGGGCCUUGUACACACCGCCCGUCACACCAUGAGAGUCGGGAACACCCGAAGUCGGUAGUCUAACCUCGUGAGGACGCCGCCGAAGGUGGGCUUGAUAAUUGGGGUGAAGUCGUAACAAGGUAUC